ACAAUUGUGGCCGAAGGGUUAAGGCGAUCGGUUUAAGUCCGACUGGAGGAAACUCCGUUGUGGGUUCGAAUCCUACCAAUUGUA
RNAcentral lists this transfer RNA (84 nucleotides) under Rickettsiales bacterium. Its description in RNAcentral is "tRNA-Leu". It matches the Rfam family "tRNA". Rfam says of the family: Transfer RNA (tRNA) molecules are approximately 80 nucleotides in length. Lineage: Bacteria; Pseudomonadati; Pseudomonadota; Alphaproteobacteria; Rickettsiales. The record is from RNAcentral.